GACGAACGCUGGCGGCGUGCUUAACACAUGCAAGUCGAACGGUGAAGCGCUUUCCUUUUUGGUUGGUGUGGAUGAGUGGCGAACGGGUGAGUAACACGUGAGUAACCUGCCCCCUUCUUCUGGAUAACCGCAUGAAAGUGUGGCUAAUACGGGAUAUUCUGCGCCUGCUGCAUGGUGGGUGUGGGAAAGAUUGUGCCUUUGGGUGUUUUCGUUGGGGGAUGGGCUCGCGGCCUAUCAGCUUGUUGGUGGGGUGAUGGCCUACCAAGGCGGUGACGGGUAGCCGGCCUGAGAGGGUGGACGGUCACACUGGGACUGAGACACGGCCCAGACUGCUACGGGAGGCAGCAGUGGGGAAUAUUGCACAAUGGGCGCAAGCCUGAUGCAGCGACGCCGCGUGAGGGAUGGAGGCCUUCGGGUUGUGAACCUCUUUCGCCAGUGAAGCAGGCCUGCUCCGUGUGGGUGGGUUGACGGUAGCUGGAUAAGAAGCGCCGGCUAACUACGUG
This 503-nucleotide ribosomal RNA is filed under the name uncultured bacterium. RNAcentral's name for it is "partial 16S ribosomal RNA". It matches the Rfam family "Bacterial small subunit ribosomal RNA", at positions 28 to 507 of the family's 1533-position model. The record is from RNAcentral.